UACGUAGGGUGCAAGCGUUGUCCGGAAUUAUUGGGCGUAAAGAGCUCGUAGGCGGUUUGUCGCGUCUGCUGUGAAAGACCGGGGCUCAACUCCGGUUCUGCAGUGGGUACGGGCAGACUAGAGUGCAGUAGGGGAGACUGGAAUUCCUGGUGUAGCGGUGAAAUGCGCAGAUAUCAGGAGGAACACCGAUGGCGAAGGCAGGUCUCUGGGCCACUACUGACGCUGAGAAGCGAAAGCAUGGGGAGCGAACAGG
Molecule: ribosomal RNA, 253 nt
Filed under: uncultured bacterium
Lineage: Bacteria
Description: partial 16S ribosomal RNA
Rfam family: Bacterial small subunit ribosomal RNA
Source: RNAcentral